Molecule: transfer RNA, 72 nt
Organism: Camelus ferus (Wild Bactrian camel)
Lineage: Eukaryota; Metazoa; Chordata; Mammalia; Artiodactyla; Camelidae
Rfam family: tRNA
About the family: Transfer RNA (tRNA) molecules are approximately 80 nucleotides in length.
Source: Rfam
GAAGGGAUAGCUUAGUGGUUGAGUGCCUGCCUAGCAUGCACAAGGUCCUGGAUUCAAUCCCCAGUACCUCCA